AACGGUCUAUACCUGCGGUACCUGCGGAGGGAUCAUUAUUGAAUAAACUUGAUGUAGUUGAGCUGACUCUCGGGAGUAUGUGCUCGCUCGUCAUCUUUAUCUUUCCACCUGUGCACUUUUUGUAGAUUUGGAUGUAACUGUCCGAGGCAACUCGGUUGGGAGGAAUGCUGUCUCUGAUGGCUUUCCUUGUAUGUCCAAGUCUAUGUUUUCAUUUACUCCAAGUAUGUAACAGAAUGUAUC
Molecule: unclassified non-coding RNA, 240 nt
Filed under: soil metagenome
Description: partial contains 5.8S ribosomal RNA, internal transcribed spacer 2, and large subunit ribosomal RNA
Source: RNAcentral